AACAGCUUGACGGGGUGCCGGUGAAAUCCGGCUGAGAUGGCGCAGGGCGUAGCAAUUAAUGCUGCCGAGCGCUGAUCCCGCAGAACCUGAUCCGGCUAAUGCGCUGCUACUUACACAAGUUCGCAGCGAGGGUACCGGCGUAGGGAUCAAGCGAUGGCCACGG
RNAcentral lists this non-coding RNA (163 nucleotides) under Vreelandella titanicae. RNAcentral's name for it is "Halomonas titanicae TPP". It matches the Rfam family "TPP riboswitch aptamer (THI element)". From Rfam's summary of the family: Vitamin B(1) in its active form thiamin pyrophosphate (TPP) is an essential coenzyme that is synthesised by coupling of pyrimidine and thiazole moieties in bacteria. The previously detected thiamin-regulatory element, thi box was extended, resulting in a new, highly conserved RNA secondary structure, the THI element, which is widely distributed in eubacteria and also occurs in some archaea. RNAcentral also lists the same sequence under 7 other names. Lineage: Bacteria; Pseudomonadati; Pseudomonadota; Gammaproteobacteria; Oceanospirillales; Halomonadaceae. The record is from RNAcentral.